Molecule: transfer RNA, 90 nt
Rfam family: tRNA
About the family: Transfer RNA (tRNA) molecules are approximately 80 nucleotides in length. Their secondary structure includes four short double-helical elements and three loops (D, anti-codon, and T loops).
Source: Rfam
GGAGAGAUGGCCGAGAGGCUGAUGGCGCGGUCUUGGAAAGACCGAUCGGAUUGAACAAAUCCGACGAGGGUUCAAAUCCCUCUCUCUCCU